RNAcentral lists this small RNA (381 nucleotides) under Pan troglodytes (chimpanzee). RNAcentral describes it as "processed transcript". Lineage: Eukaryota; Metazoa; Chordata; Mammalia; Primates; Hominidae. The record is from RNAcentral.
GAUGGGUGGGAUCCCCGCUGUGAACGGCCGUGGGGAGCGGCUGCUGCUGCACAUUGGCAUCAUCGACAUCCUGCAGUCCUACAGGUUCAUCAAGAAACUGGAGCAUACCUGGAAGGCCCUCGUCCACGAUGGGGACACGGUGUCCGUCCACCGCCCCAGCUUCUAUGCCGAGCGCUUUUUCAAGUUCAUGAGCAACACGGUCUUUCGGAAGAACUCCUCCCUGAAGUCCUCGCCCUCCAAGAAGGGGCGCGGCGGAGCCUUGCUAGCUGUGAAACCGCUGGGACCCACCGCUGCCUUCUCGGCCAGCCAGAUCCCUAGCGAGCGGGAGGAGGCCCAGUACGACCUGCGGGGGGCCCGCAGCUACCCCACGCUGGAGGACGA